ACCUAAGGUGCGAUUAGAGUGAUUGACAGAAAACCUGACAAGUUACAAAACAAUAUGAUCUUUUCAGCUCAUUGUGAACCUGAACUUGGGAGGCCCCUGAACGCGUGAGGCCCCUGGGCUUCAGCCCAGGUAAGCCCGUGCAUUAAAGCGGCCUAGCACUACGGAUAUAUUCAGGAAACAGAGAGGAACCAAAAACAACGUCUGUAACAUUCUCUGAUGAUUAUAAACGUUAACUACUCCUCAUAUGUUCUGUAUACAGGUCCGCACCAAAUCAUUUUAUAUUGUUUUUAUGAGUGUUAACAGCUGCUAAUGUAACGCUGUUACUGUGAUGAUACAACAUGACAGUUAUAUGUCACAUUAUGUUACAUGACAGACAUAGCAUGCUUUGCCUCUGCUAAUGUUAUGUUGGACAUUGUACUGCUUAUUCCAACGCUAAUAUACUACAUUCAGCUUUCCAGCCGUUUCAGACAUUCUAUAAUACCUACAGGAGGAACAGCCCACCAAAUCACAGGACAAACUGAAACGGAAGGUGUUGUGUGGGUAAGCCCGACGGCAGCAUGCCCCGACACACGUGGACUGCGAGGGCCCGUUCAUCACUGCUUGCAGUUUUAAUUCAUUACUUGUGUUGCUGUUGUUGUUGUUGUUAUGAAUGUACGGCAGGCUGUAGCCAACGAUUUAUAUAGCGUAAUUCAUUACUUAUGGGAAACAUUUUAAAAGCAACAGGCUUGCCUCCAAGCAGCACAGCAGAAGGGAGAAGUGCGUGUAAUGCGGAAGACGUCGCUGGCGCUGGAGCCAGGUCAAACCAACCAAUAGAAACUCUUCUCUCAUCCACCAGCGUAGGCCCCGCCCAUCAAGUGCAGUUGAAGUCCCGCCCCUUCCGGUGGACCCCAUGGGACCUCUGGGAUCGUAAAAUAUACAUGGGAUUGAAUGGACAGAAAGUAAUUAUUUUCUGGUCCCAGUCGUUAUAUGCCUUGGAUUACACAAAUGUUGUUUGUGGGUUUAAAUUAUAUUUUUUCACGUCAAGAGUUUGACAGUCUAUUGUGCAAUUGUUCAGCUAAAGGCUGUAGAGAAAAAAUGAUGAGAAAGACUACAUGUCGCGUAUGUGACGUCACGUCAUCAACUUUUCCCUCCGCUGUCAAGUGGCUAAGUCAAGGUUCCUGUAUUUCAAGAUGCUGGUGUGUUUUGUACCAGUCCUCAUUCGAGCAGGCACGGCUGUUGUUUCUUUCGGAUCCCUUCAGAUGUGAAGAAUCCCUGGCUCAAACUGAUCAGGAACAGCUAAAGCCCCCAACCAGGACUGAUGGACACAGGAAUUUUCAGGUCAAGUGUUUUAUUAAUUUCACUGCAUCACAGUUAGCAGUGUCAGCAUACACAGCAGUAUCUACAACUGACCAGUGACCAAAUUAAGCACUUAACAACCACGAACAUGUCCACAAGUCUCCCAGUCCCUCAAAUUGUGCACAAUGCACCACCCCAUGUCAAUCAUAUUACACGCAAUAUGUGGGAUAGUGCCUUGUGCAUAUGUUGUGACUUUUCAUCAUGGCAUUAUUAAUGCAAUUAAUUAUUUAAGCACCAAUAAGACCUCACAUGAACGUUUACACACCAAAAAACAGUGUAGCUUUUUAAGUGAGUUUAAGUGAGCAUUAAUUCCAUUUUUAUCACAAGUUUAUGUUUUCUAUAUUCUUCUCUCCUCAGCACCAUCAUAUCCUGUUCCUGUGUGUCCUGCUUGCAAGUCAGCGCCUUGGAUUUGUAUACCAUUUCAAAUAAAUUAAGUUGACUGUAGUUAUGACCUUGAGCUGUGUUUCUUUGAGUCAAAAACAAUGUUUGUGUUUAAAAACAAUCAGACACAGUCUUUAACAGAAUACACGCUUACUUUAUUCCCAAUGUGAAAGAUGACAGUCAUUUACCUAGAUUAGUGUUUAUAACUUAGAUUUCAUUCAAAUCCUCAAGUUCAAUAUUCAUGUCAGAUAAAUUGUAUGGGCUGUAAGUGUGAUUUUAUAUUUUAUCACCACACACACUCAUUUGUAAAAAUCUUACCUGAUGUUUCAAUGGCUUAACUAUGAUAUUAAGCCUAAUUGCAAAGAUAUAAUUACAGUGUAGGACAAAAGACUGGCAGAACAAAGUGUGUUGUACAUGUCGCACAUGAUAUGUCCAUCUUAUGAGAUAUUUGCUGACGUCUCCAGAAGAGUGAGAAAACAAUACUCCUCAGAGCCAUCUUCAGGCACACCGCUUGAAGGGACCAUGCUGAAGCUCACAGUGAGGGUCAUGUCUUCACUGUCCUGGCACGAGUCUAAAGGGAAAAGGAAAACAAAACACACAUAUAGGCAAGAAUAUACAAUAGGACUAACACCACUCACUACUAGCAAUGAUAACACACUGACCAUGACGAGGGCAUUUGAUGCAUACUCAUAUCGGGAGCUUCAUUUAGCUACUAGAGCUACGGCAGUUAGCUGGCUAGCAAAAUAUGUGAGAUGAUUCAGACUGGGUUUGGGUAUAUUAGUAUUUGCAUGUUCUGCUGGGUAUAACAGACGCUAAAGAAAUUGGUAACUUUGCUGACUCUCUUAUCGAGAGCUUAAGUUAGCCACUACACUACAGCACUUGCAAUUAGCUAGCUAGUUAGCUAGCGAAGUCGUAACACUCACCGAAACCUUAUAACGAUGCUCCCUGCGACUCGCGUGGACAAGACCGACCAUCUCCCCAUCGGCAUGGUUGCAGCUCUCUACAUGCCCCGACUUAUAAUGAUGUUCGCCUCUUUCUAGGCUGUUAUCCUCCCCUUGGAAAAAAGCGGUGAAGUAGUGCAGAGAGAUCGCCAGAGAGCGGGUGGUGACGUACAUCAUUCGCGUCGAGAGCGGCGAAGGGCUGUAGUUCACAAAGCGGCCUCACACAAAACCUAACAUUAUCAAGCUUCUUCACGCUAAAUUGUAGUAAUCUUUGCAUGGAAAAUUAUCUUUAAAAACCACAAACAACAUAUGUGAAAUUCAUAGCAAAAUUCAAACGGGACCAGAAAAUAUUUGUUAUCUCUCCAUUGACUGCCAUUCAUAAUAAUUCGCAACUGAGGUCCCAUGUACCGGAAACUGAAGGGCGUGACUUCGCCACUCUAUUCUCAAGCAAAACUUUAGAACUUGCAAGCAAGGAGGAUAGGACUGAUUUGCAAACAAAACUUUAUAACGCCCAAGCAAAGAGGACUGAUUUGCAAGCAAAGGUUUUUAACUUGAAAGCAAAGAGGACUGAUUUAUAAGCA
Molecule: long non-coding RNA, 3238 nt
Filed under: Sparus aurata (gilthead seabream)
Lineage: Eukaryota; Metazoa; Chordata; Actinopteri; Spariformes; Sparidae
Description: lncRNA (ENSSAUG00010016138.1)
Source: RNAcentral